UACGGAGGAUGCAAGCGUUAUCCGGAAUCAUUGGGCGUAAAGCGUCCGCAGGUGGUCUGAUAAGUCUAGGGUCAAAGACAGAAGCUCAACUUCUGCAAGGCCAAGGAAACUGUGAGACUAGAGGCAGGUAGGGGUAGCAGGAAUUCCCAGUGUAGCGGUGAAAUGCGUAGAGAUUGGGAAGAACAUCGGUGGCGAAAGCGUGCUACUGGGCUGAGCCUGACACUGAGGGACGAAAGCUAGGGGAGCGAAAGGG
Molecule: ribosomal RNA, 253 nt
Filed under: uncultured bacterium
Lineage: Bacteria
Description: partial 16S ribosomal RNA
Rfam family: Bacterial small subunit ribosomal RNA
Source: RNAcentral